This 188-nucleotide microRNA precursor is filed under the name Prunus dulcis (almond). RNAcentral's name for it is "sRNA ncRNA". The record is from RNAcentral. Lineage: Eukaryota; Viridiplantae; Streptophyta; Magnoliopsida; Rosales; Rosaceae.
GAAUGGAAGUCAGGAUGAGAUUGAGAGAGAGGAUAAGGGGGGAGGAUGGGAGUGAGAAAUAACAAAAGUGUAACAGAAACUUGAAAGUGAAAACAAUUUCAAAUAGAUUUCAUUUUUUAAAUUUUGUUUUCACUUUUGUUACUCCUCCCUCCCAUCUUCCCUCUCAAUCCCAUCUCCACUCUCAUUCU